GAAAAAAGAAGAAGAAAGAAAAAGCUGUUACACAAUAUUCACAAACUAAAAGAAACAAAUGUUUGAAAAAGUGAAAUGAAGAUAGGUCCGUGUGCAUAUGUACAACAGGGCACGACACAAAGAGCCUUCCUGUUGCACUUCUGUGCCCUGGAUAAGAGCCAGCCACAAAUAGCUGGCAGUCAGGGCCUAUGACUUUAUUCAGCUCUGUCUAGAUUAUCUGCCUUGUGCAAGAAUGGAUGUAGCUUGGGAAAAUACAGCUAGAUGUAGGAAAUCCAAAUGGGAUGAACUGCACUUCAUGCUGGUGUGUCCAGCAGUGUACUACAGUGUAUCCAAUAGUUUACUAAAAUACUAUUUCCCAAUAUGAAGAUACAGCAAUAAUAUUUUCACCCUGAAAUAAAUGUUCUUCCUCUCCCCACUCCCAAAACCUCACAGUAAAGGAUUACAUGGUGAGCUGUACCACCCAUUCUCAGACCGUGCAGCACCCCUUUCUCUUCAAAUACUGCUGCUGAAGCCAGCAGUGUCACUGGAAGAGGAGGGAGCAGUCCAACCAAAAGCAGUGAUGCCAGCCUUAUAACAGCAUGAUCACACAGGCUGAUCUUUUUGCUGAAAUGGCUCAUAACUGCUCAAGGAGUCACAGUAUCUAAGGUGACUUCUGUUCUUCUAUUAAAAGCAAUAAUAAGAAAUAAGUAUCUAUUUAUUACACGUUCUCAUAUGCAUGUUCAAAACGAUAGCGCUCUCGUAUGGUCUUGGCAUUAAGACUACUUUCUGAGGCACAAUGUACAAUAGCAAAAGAAAAGUUUUUUUCACAUAUAUCUAUGUAUAUAUCUUACACAUAUGUGCACAUUUCGCAGAUAGUUUCAUAUCCAUGCAGCAUUCACCAGACUAGCUGACACUCCACUUCCUUUCUAUCAAGCCUGCUGACUUUGCUACGUACACAAGAAGGAGGCUGUCUAACUUUCUUUUCAACCACACAAUCCUAAAGCUGAGAGUUCUGAGAAAGACUCAAACAUCAUGGAGAAGGAGUGUGUGAAGGGAGUGUGCUUAUAGACAGCACAGCUUUGACAGUUUCGUUAACUGGUAGCAAUUUUUUUUGUUAAUCUGCAAAAUAGAACUGAUUAAUACACAUCACAUAUAUAUAUAUAGGUAUAUAUAUACAUACACACACACGUGUAUUCAGAUUGCAGUCCCUCCUAACAAUCACAGUACUUGGUAGGGAGACGUGGCAUGCUUCAUGCACGCAACCAUAGAUAUGCAGACUAUGUUACCACGCACCAUAUAAUCCCUGGAUGCUUCUGAAAUGGCAAAACACUUGGUCAAGUUGUGGAGGGAGCUCCCCGUAGCAGUUCAGCCGAUGUCAGCAAUGGAGCUAUCACUCAAGAAAGCCACUAAUUUAGACUGAGCUCUGAUGGAAUGUGUGUUAAUCCUGGAGGGUGGCUCCUUUUUGGUGUUUUCAUAACAGGUUUCGCUGGUGGUUAUCCUGCUCGGCACUCCUGACUUUCAACCUCCCAGCAGCUGACAAAAACAACUCUGGAUCUGAAAGACCUAAACCUGCGGAGCUAAAAAGUCAAAGGCCUCCUAACAACGAAAGCCCAAAGAUGUCCUGCCUCUAGAAACUUCUUCCUUCAAGAAAGAAUGGAAAUAAGUCGAUCCCCUAGAUAAAAUGAAGAGACCAAAACCAUGCUCAGGAGAAGCUUACAGCAGGCUUACAGGAAGCCUUCCUUCUUAAAGGAAGCCAUUUGGAUCUGAAAGAGUAUGGCUCUCAUCUGGUUUCCUGGAUGAAUUCAUAAUCAGGAAAAAAACCUUUUCCAAGGCCUAGUCCAGGACAUCUGGGUCUGAGGCAUAAGCAGAUCACUUGGUUCAGUCAGUGGACACCUGAAGAUGAUGUGCAGGAGUAAUGGUUUAACCACCUCCCACACAUACAACUGUCAUAUUUGUAUCUAUGUAUGUAUGACAUACAGAGAGCAGAAGAGUGGACAGGUAUGCAGAGAGGUGUAGGAAAGAGCCUCACCAGAACUAAAGCUGGAAACGAGCUCCUUUAGUACCAGCAAACAGACCAGGAUGACUGCAGCUGGCAUCUGGUGGGAGAGGCUGACCUGACAACACAGCCUGGCAUCCUGACUCACUCUGCCAGUUUGGUGCACCUCCUGCUGCUCCUCAUGCUGCUGACAAGAACUUCCCUCCCAGAGGAAAAGCACAGAUCUGGUGACAAGAUCCAUCCAGCAGGUCAAGAACAAAGGGAACAAUGUCAGCUAACAAGACCAAGCAGAGUAAUGCGAUCAUGUAUACCUCCUGCCUGACAGUAUUGGCUGCUGCUGAGGAUGUGACACAAGCCUAGACAGACCUUUCAUCUUGUAUAGUAUGGCAGUAAUGGUGGUCUGAUGAGGGGAGAAAAUACAUGGAAAUUGCAACUGAUGGAAAUACUUUCCCCAUAAGUCCCCAUUGGUGUCCUGAGUUCCUUCCUCUCUCCUUUUUGCACAGAACUAUGUUUCAACUCCUUGGGGAUAUGCAUUACAUAUUGUUAGUUAUACCAGCUUAUAAAGUAUGCAUGAAUAAACAACUGCUGGAAACAGUGAUUUAUUUUAUACAUCCACUUCCACAGAUAAAAGCAUAUUCUUUAAAAAA
Molecule: long non-coding RNA, 2622 nt
Organism: Cygnus olor (mute swan)
Lineage: Eukaryota; Metazoa; Chordata; Aves; Anseriformes; Anatidae
Exons: 3
Source: RefSeq, a predicted model, not a curated record